Molecule: long non-coding RNA, 574 nt
Organism: Erinaceus europaeus (western European hedgehog)
Lineage: Eukaryota; Metazoa; Chordata; Mammalia; Eulipotyphla; Erinaceidae
Exons: 3
Source: RefSeq, a predicted model, not a curated record
GAACACAGCUCUGGUAGCACCUGCAAUCUCAUCUUGUUUCUUCCCAAGCGCCUGGGAAGAAAAGCAAUUUGUUUGCUCUCAUACUCUAAAGAUGAACUUCCCGUGCUCAAUCAAACGUUAUUAUCCCAAUUGUCUACUCUGAGACAACACACCAUAGCUGAGGCCCACAUGAACCUACUUGGGAAUGUACUGUACUGCUAUAUUGGGAAGUAAUUGCAGUUGUACUGUUGUGUCAAGAUUGAAUUAUCAGCAAAAGGUUCCAGAUGCUAGCAUGAUGCUGACCAGACUUCCCUGGACAGACAACACCACCAAUAUGUCCUGGAGCUUCGGUUCCCCAGAGCCCUUCCCCACUAGGGAAAAAGAGAGACAGGCUGGGAGUAUGGAUCGGCCUGUCAACGCCCAUGUUCAGCGGGGAAGCAAUUACAGAAGCCAGACCUUCCACCUUCUGCAUCCCAAUGACUGUGGGUCCAUACUCCCAGAGGGAUAAAAAGGAAAGCUAUCAGGGGAGGGGAUGGGAUACAGAGUUCUGGUGGUGGGAAUUGUGCGAAGCUGUACCCCUCUUAUCCUAUGGUUU